RNAcentral lists this ribosomal RNA (305 nucleotides) under uncultured bacterium. RNAcentral describes it as "bacterial SSU rRNA". It matches the Rfam family "Bacterial small subunit ribosomal RNA", at positions 338 to 659 of the family's 1533-position model. The record is from RNAcentral.
CCUACGGGGGGCAGCAGUCGGGAAUAUUGCGCAAUGGAGGCAACUCUGACGCAGUGACGCCGCGUAUAGGAAGAAGGUUUUCGGAUUGUAAACUAUUGUCCUCAGGGAAGAAAAAAGACUGUACCUGAGAAGAAAGCUCCGGCUAACUACGUGCCAGCAGCCGCGGUAAUACGUAGGGAGCAAGCGUUAUCCGGAUUUACUGGGUGUAAAGGGAGCGUAGGUGGCAGGGCAAGUCAGAUGUGAAAACCCGGGGCUCAACUCCGGGAGUGCAUUUGAAACUGUCCAGCUAGAGUGCAGGAGAGGUA